UACGUAGGGAGCAAGCGUUGUCCGGAAUCAUUGGGCGUAAAGCGCGCGUAGGCGGCCCUGUAAGUCCGCUGUGAAAGUCAAAGGCUCAACCUUUGAAUGCCGGUGGAUACUGCAGGGCUAGAGUCCGGAAGAGGCAAGUGGAAUUCCUGGUGUAGCGGUGGAAUGCGCAGAUAUCAGGAGGAACACCUAUUGCGAAGGCAGCUCGCUGGGACGUUACUGACGCUGAGACGCGAAAGCGUGGGGAGCAAACAGG
RNAcentral lists this ribosomal RNA (253 nucleotides) under uncultured bacterium. Its description in RNAcentral is "partial 16S ribosomal RNA". It matches the Rfam family "Bacterial small subunit ribosomal RNA", at positions 524 to 776 of the family's 1533-position model. The record is from RNAcentral.